UCGAGGAUCUUCGGCAAUGGGCGCAAGCCUGACCGAGCGAUGCCGCGUGUGCGAUGAAGGCCUUCGGGUUGUAAAGCACUGUCGAGGGAGAGAAAAGCCCGCAAGGGUUUGAUCGAUCCCUGGAGGAAGCACGGGCUAAGUUCGUGCCAGCAGCCGCGGUAAGACGAACCGUGCAAACGUUGUUCGGAAUCACUGGGCUUAAAGGGCGCGUAGGCGGGUGGAUAAGUCAGGGGUGAAAGCCCACGGCUCAACCGUGGAAGUGCCUUUGAUACUGUUCAUCUCGAGGGAGGUAGGGGCGUGCGGAACUUCCGGUGGAGCGGUGAAAUGCGUAGAUAUCGGAAGGAACACCGGUGGCGAAAGCGGCGCGCUGGACCUCUUCUGACGCUGAGGCGCGAAAGCC
RNAcentral lists this ribosomal RNA (400 nucleotides) under uncultured bacterium. RNAcentral's name for it is "bacterial SSU rRNA". It matches the Rfam family "Bacterial small subunit ribosomal RNA", at positions 355 to 761 of the family's 1533-position model. The record is from RNAcentral.